Molecule: long non-coding RNA, 372 nt
Organism: Ochotona curzoniae (black-lipped pika)
Lineage: Eukaryota; Metazoa; Chordata; Mammalia; Lagomorpha; Ochotonidae
Exons: 3
Source: RefSeq, a predicted model, not a curated record
GGUGGGAAGAGCACCAGGCUGGCACUGUCCUUGACAGGGCACUCUGCCCACGACCCUGCAAUGGCAAGAAGAUGGUGGCACGGAGAAGUUGGGGUGGGAAAGCAGGUGUGGGAGAACAACCAAUUUUGCAAAAGAAGAGUGGAAGAGACUUGUCCAUCCUCCACUUAUGCCACAGAAACCCCAGAACCAUGCUGCGGGAGCCCGAAGACUCCGCCAGCGAAAGCAGAAGCACUGCAUAGAGACGGUUGAUGCCGCUGUCAAUGGCGCUGUUGUUCUUGUUGAGCGAGGACGGCGGGCUGCAGUUCUGCUUGAGCGCAGCGUCUUCUUCCAGGUCAGUGUCAUCGAUGAGGGGGAUGUGGGGCUGGGAAUCUU